GCCUGGCGGGCUCAGUCGCUGGAGCAUGGGACUCUUGAUCUCAGGGUUGUGAGUUCGAGCCCCAUGUUGGGUG
Molecule: transfer RNA, 73 nt
Filed under: Ailuropoda melanoleuca (giant panda)
Lineage: Eukaryota; Metazoa; Chordata; Mammalia; Carnivora; Ursidae
Rfam family: tRNA
About the family: Transfer RNA (tRNA) molecules are approximately 80 nucleotides in length. Their secondary structure includes four short double-helical elements and three loops (D, anti-codon, and T loops). Further hydrogen bonds mediate the characteristic L-shaped molecular structure. tRNAs have two regions of fundamental functional importance: the anti-codon, which is responsible for specific mRNA codon recognition, and the 3' end, to which the tRNAs corresponding amino acid is attached (by aminoacyl-tRNA synthetases). tRNAs cope with the degeneracy of the genetic code in two manners: having more than one tRNA (with a specific anti-codon) for a particular amino acid; and 'wobble' base-pairing, i.e. permitting non-standard base-pairing at the 3rd anti-codon position.
Source: Rfam by way of RNAcentral